ACUGGCAGCUAGCUCUCUGCAACAAUCACAUGGUCGCCAACUGAAGCAAAGCAAUGCUGCGCACGUUUAGUACCUGAAUGGGAGACCACAUGGGAAAGCUAGGUUGCUGCUGUAAGUG
This is a ribosomal RNA of Danio rerio (zebrafish), 118 nucleotides long. The record is from Ensembl. NCBI's taxonomy places the organism in Eukaryota, Metazoa, Chordata, Actinopteri, Cypriniformes, Danionidae.